Non-coding RNA from Triticum urartu, 2597 nucleotides. The record is from RefSeq and is a predicted model, not a curated record. NCBI's taxonomy places the organism in Eukaryota, Viridiplantae, Streptophyta, Magnoliopsida, Poales, Poaceae.
UUGGAUGUCUGGCGGCAUCCAGUUCUCCCGCGCGGCGGCGAGGGUUUGGCGGGAGAGCCACCUCCGAGAGCCUGAGAGAGAGGCGAGACACGUCGCUGUGGAGGAGAGGGUUGGAGCUCUGUUCCAUCCAGAGCAGAGGAGGUCGUCGCGCCACAUUCAUUGGAGACAAAGUAGGGCGGCCUCGCGCCGCCGCGGAGGCGACGGGGAGGAGGGCCUCGCCGCCCGGGAGCUUCUGAGAAGAUACAGAGCGGCCGCAGAUUUCGUUCACCCGAUCCGCCCCUCGAUUCCACCGAGAAGAUACAGUCGUCGUUCGCCGGAGAUAAGUUGGGUGGUGUGCAAUGGCACAAUCUGAUAAGGGGAUGCCUCAAGUUGGCAUGAUAUUCAAAAGUCAAGAGGAGUCUUGGUUGUUUUGGAUAGCAUAUGGUGGUCGUGUAGGCUUUGAUGUGAGGAAAAGGUACACCAAUGUGAGCAAAUUUGAUGGUAAGGUAACUUCCUGCAGAUAUGUUUGUGCCAAUGAAGGUCAUCGAAAAAAAAAACGCAAAGAGAAUCCAUUCGAAAGUGCUUUAGAGAUGAGACAAGAACUGAUUGUAAAGCUCGAAUGACUCUUACAUUGGAUCGAGAGUCUGGAAAUUUGGAAGUCACGGAUGUAGUUCUUGAACAUAAUCACUUGCUUCACUUGCCACAAACCCGCCACCUCAUGGUGUCGCAAAGGAAAAUAUCAGAAUUUCAAGCAUAUGAAAUUGAAGCUGCGGAUGAUUCUGGAAUUAGGCCUAAAGCUGCAUAUGAGCUCGCUACUCGUCAGGUUGGUGGACCACUUAAUCUCAGGGCAUGGCCAAUGCUCCACCGUGGAGUGGUGCUUCAGCUAUACACGUAGGUUCGGAUGGUCACAGAAAUCUUUUGCAAAGCAAGAGGCAAAGAGAGUUGGCUUUUGGUCAGGCAGGCAGCAUGUUAAAGUACUUUGGUGGGAAAGUUGCUGAAAAUCCAUCAUUUCAAUAUGCUUUGCAACUAGAUUGUGAGGAGAAUAUAUCUAACAUUUUCUGGGCUGAUGCUAAAAUGAUGUUAGACUAUGCACACUUUGGCGAUGUUGUCACAUUUGACACUACUUUUGGCACAAACAAGGAAUAUAGGCCAUUUGGUGUUUUAGGGAGACUACAGUUUUUGGUGCUGCACUAAUGUUUGACGAAACAUUAGCCUCAUUCAAAUGGCUCUUUGAAACUUUCCUAGGUGCGCAUAAUGGAAGGCAACCUAGAACUAUUUAUACCGAUCAAGAUUAUGCAAUGGGUAGAGCUGUAGAGGUUGUGUUCACAGAAGCAUAUCAUGGACUGUGUACAUUUCAUAUAAUGCAGAAUGCUGUCAAACAUCUAUCUCCAAUUAAGGUUGAAGAUGAAGAUGAGGGUGAAGAGAAAGAGGAGGGUGAAGACAAAGAUAAAGACGAAGAAUCACAUAUUCUCACUGAUUUUAGUGCUUGUAUGUAUGGCUAUGAGGACAAGGUUGAGUUUGAAGAAGCAUUUGCCAACAUGAGGUUAAAGAUGCAUAAGCAAACUUGGUUUGAUAGUAUCUACAAGGUAAAAGAAAAGUGGGCUGAAUGUUUUAUGAGAGACGUCUUCAGUUUGGGAGUGAGAAGUACACAAUUAAGUGAGAGCUUCAACAAUUCAUUGAAGAACCAUUUGAAAUCUGAUUUUCAUAUUGUUAGAUUUUUAAAGCAUUUUGAAAGGAUAGUGGAACAAAAAAGAAACAAAGAGCUGGAAUCUGAAUUUGAAGCAAGAAAAAACAUACCAAGAAUCAAGAUGAGCAGGCCUAUGUUGGUACAAGCAAGCAAAGUGUACACUCCAACAAUUUUUGAAGCUUUCCAAAGUGAGUAUGAAAGAUCUAUGGCUGCAUGUAGUAGAGUAUUGGAUGGAAACAAAUAUGUUGUAUCUAUUGGUAGCUUGAUUGCGUUGGUCCACGGUUGGAGGAAAAACUCAAUGCAUCUAGUAGUGCUAUGAAUGAACCAAGUAAUGACCAAGAAAAUGUUGACCCAAAUGUGCAGCAAAGAGAUGACUUGCUAAGAGCUGCUAAACUGAAGAAAAAGGAGGUUCAGCCCAAAAAUUCAAAGAGAAAGAAAAAUUGGCUUGAUAGGUUGCACAAGGCCAAGCGCAAGGCAACUAAACCUGUUGUUUCGACCAAGAAAGGACCAAAGCAAAAAAAGAAAAAUGUAGAUGUACAGCCCCAAGGGGAAGUGAAGAAUGAUGGCAACAAGAGAAGCGCAAAUGUGGAAAAUGGGCAGUACAUUGCCAUUGAGAGCUUUACUCAGCUCCUCACAGCUCCCCCUACUUGUGAAGAUGAUCGUCUUUAUGGUGAAAAUUUGUUCUAAUAUCUAGAUGUUGGUUAGAUGAUACUUUGGGGGUUAACUAUAGUUAUCUGGUGGUAUUUUGGUGGCUAACUAUAGUCUUUUGUGGCCUAAGUGUACAAGUGAAUGGCCUAUUAUGUAACAUACUUGGAUGGUUAUUCAUUGGUAGUACUUGUUGCUACAGAAUUUGAAUGAUAUGGUUCAGAAUAUCAAUGUCAAGUGCUUGAAUAUUUGUGCUACAGAGUUGUACGAAUGAUAAGUGCUUGCA